GGGUUAAGUCCCGCAACGAGCGCAACCCCUAUUCUUAGUUGCCAGCAUGUCAUGGUGGGGACUCUAAGAAGACUGCCUGCGCAAGCAGAGAGGAAGGAGGGGAUGACGUCAAGUCAUCAUGGCCCUUACGCCCAGGGCUACACACGUGCUACAAUGGCGUCUACAAAGUGUUGCCAGUCAGUGAUGACGAGCCAAUCACAAAAAGGACGUCUCAGUUCGGAUUGCAGGCUGCAACUCGCCUGCAUGAAGUUGGAAUCGCUAGUAAUCGCGCAUCAGCAAUGGCGCGGUGAAUACGUUCCCGGACCUUGUACACACCGCCCGUCAAGCCAUGGAAGUUGGGAGGACCUGAAGCCAGUUGCUGUGAGGCGCUGUUUAGGGUUAAACCAAUGACUGGGGCUAAGUCGUAACAAGGUAGCCGUACCGGAAGGUGCGGCUGGAACACC
RNAcentral lists this ribosomal RNA (443 nucleotides) under uncultured bacterium. Its description in RNAcentral is "bacterial SSU rRNA". It matches the Rfam family "Bacterial small subunit ribosomal RNA", at positions 1077 to 1527 of the family's 1533-position model. The record is from RNAcentral.